This is an RNA transcript of Sapajus apella (tufted capuchin), 588 nucleotides long. It is a transcript of the gene named protein S100-A10 pseudogene, with no coding region annotated. Lineage: Eukaryota; Metazoa; Chordata; Mammalia; Primates; Cebidae. The transcript has 2 exons. The record is from RefSeq and is a predicted model, not a curated record.
AUGAAAAAAGCUGGAAGGAAGGACACCGCAGACAGAAGUGAGAAAACCGCCUUAAAGACGGCGUCCUUUUCCCUUGAGAACCCCGUUCCUCCAAACGCGAACCUUAAAACUGUCUCUAGAGCUGUGCUGCCACCCAGUGUCCGCCGCGCCUUGGCCAAGGCCUCAACAGACCAUACCAAAACGACAUCUCAAAUGGAACGUGCCAUGGAAACCAUGAUGUUUACAUUUCACAAAUUUGCUGGGGAUAAAGGCUGCUUAACAAAGGAGGACCUGAGAGUACUCAUGGAAAAGGAGUUCCCUGGAUUUUUGGAAAAUCAAAAAGACCCUCUGGCCGUGGACAAAAUAAUGAAGGACCUGGACCAGUGCAGAGAUGGCAAAGUGGGCUUCCAUAGCUUCUUUUCCCUAAUUGCGGGCCUCACCAUUGCAUGCAAUGACUAUUUUGUAGUACACAUGAAGCAGAAGGGAAAGAAGUAGGCAGAAAUGAGGAAUUCCCCUGGCCCUGAUAAAAGUUGUCCCAAAGGGUCACUUAAGGAAUCUGCCCCACAGCUUCCCCCAUAUAAGGAUUUCAUGAGCAGAUCAGGACCCUUA